CAGAAGGUAGUUUAAUAUAGAAUACUAAUUUUGGGUAUUAGAGAUGGGCUUUUGUCUCCUUUUGA
Molecule: transfer RNA, 65 nt
Filed under: Amerotyphlops reticulatus (reticulate worm snake)
Lineage: Eukaryota; Metazoa; Chordata; Lepidosauria; Squamata; Typhlopidae
Description: tRNA-Pro
Source: RNAcentral